This 241-nucleotide ribosomal RNA is filed under the name uncultured bacterium. RNAcentral describes it as "partial 16S ribosomal RNA". It matches the Rfam family "Bacterial small subunit ribosomal RNA", at positions 96 to 334 of the family's 1533-position model. The record is from RNAcentral.
UGGCGAACGGGUGAGUAACACGUGGGUAAUCUGCCCUGUACUUUGGGAUAAGCCUUGGAAACGGGGUCUAAUACCGGAUAUGACCGCUCUUCGCAUCGGGGGGGUGGGUGGGAAAGCUCCGGCGGUAUGGGAUGAGCCUGCGGCCUAUCAGCUUGUUGGUGGGGUGAUGGCCUACCAAGGCGACGACGGGUAGCCGGCCUGAGAGGGUGUCCGGCCACACUGGGACUGAGAUACGGCCCAG